CUAAGGGCGUACGGUGGAUGCCUUGGCUUGAAGAGGCGAAGAAAGACGUGGCACGACUGCGAAAAGCUUCGGGGAGGUGUCUAGCAACCUUUGAUCCGGAGAUGUCUGAAUGGGGAAACCCGUCCGAGUAAACCUCGGUCACCCCGCCUAGGCGGGGAGCAAACCCAGGGAAUUGAAACAUCUUAGUACCUGGAGGAAAAGAAACCAAUAUGCGGAUUUUUUACUGUGUUGGCGAUGUUUGCCGAUACGGUAAAAAAUCCUGGCAUUUCCUUAGUAGCGGCGAGCGAAACGGAAGAAGCCCAAACCAGUUCUUUCGGGAACUGGGGUUGUAGGGUAGUGACUUCUUAACGAGAAGAGUCAAAAAAUGUAUUUGUUAGUGGAACGUGCUGGAAAGUGCGGCCCCAGAGGGUAAUAGCCCCGUACAUGAAAACAAAUACGUCUCUUUUGUCACUAUUCCUGAGUAGCGUGGGACAUGAAUAGCCUGCGUGAAUCCGGGUGGACUAACACCCAAGGCUAAAUACUCUUCAAGACCGAUAGUGAACUAGUACCGUGAGGGAAAGGUGAAAAGAACCCCGGCGAGGGGAGUGAAAUAGAUCUGAAACCAUAUGCUUACAA
RNAcentral lists this ribosomal RNA (615 nucleotides) under Patescibacteria group bacterium. RNAcentral's name for it is "bacterial LSU rRNA". It matches the Rfam family "Bacterial large subunit ribosomal RNA", at positions 12 to 569 of the family's 2925-position model. The record is from RNAcentral.